AAAACAAGGUUGGUAUAUUUACUGUAUUACUUCGCAGGGAGUUAAACAUACGUCGGGAGAUGAUAUUGAGGCCCUGACUAUAGAUGUAUUUUCAUUUCCAGAUAACUACCCAAUUGAGCGGUAUCGUUUUUCUUCUCAGUCCAUCAGUCAUGUAGCUUCCAAAACCUUAUCCGUCCUCAUAUCACCAAUGUCACCCAUCGUGGACAUGCUCUUACAUCACAGCAGAUCCUUUGUGUUACAGGUUAUUUUUUUGCAAACGGCAGUUUUCUUUACAAGAUUGGUGAUGCAGAGCAUAUUAGUAAAGCCACUGUAUGCAGGGCCAUCAGGAGAAUGUUACUCGCUCUAAAACGUUUUCUAAACCUUUUCUGCAGUGUUCCCUGGACU
Long non-coding RNA from Etheostoma cragini (Arkansas darter), 384 nucleotides. RefSeq lists it as uncharacterized. Lineage: Eukaryota; Metazoa; Chordata; Actinopteri; Perciformes; Percidae. The record is from RefSeq and is a predicted model, not a curated record. The transcript has 3 exons.